This 334-nucleotide ribosomal RNA is filed under the name Varanus gouldii (Gould's goanna). Its description in RNAcentral is "partial 12S ribosomal RNA". The record is from RNAcentral. Lineage: Eukaryota; Metazoa; Chordata; Lepidosauria; Squamata; Varanidae.
UGCAACAGAGCAGGUAUCAGGCUCAACAACGUUAGCCCAUUACACCUUGCCAAGCCACAUCCCCACGGAUUACACAGCAGUGACUAACAUUAGGCAAUGAGCAACCCAAACUCGACCUAGCUAAAACUUCUUUGGCCGGCAAAUCUCGUGCCAGCAGCCGCGGUUACACGGGAGACCAAAGAUAACCCCCAACGGCGUAAAGAGUGACCACAGAUUUUCACACCUACCACCAAGAUCCCAAAAUUCUGUCUUAGAGAUGAAAUCCCAAGACACCCGGAACCCCCAAGCAUCCACAAAUUAGGCCAUCUGACUCACGAAAACCAGGCCCCAAACU